AGCAUAAUACAAGCCGGGAAACUGGACGAACCAAAACACCAGGAGAACUGAACCGUCCUCCACACAGUGUUCACCAUUAGAGAGCAUGAUGACGUUUGCAGACAAAUCUCAACUGAGGAGGUAGAGCGACAGUCCAAACCGGCAGAGGGAUCAAAACUGAACCAGGUCAAAAUUGGUGGAAGUUUCCGAAGCACUUGCCCAAGGUUCCACCCACUUGUACCACUUGUCCUUUGUUUACACACCAUGAAGAAAAACCAAUGCUUCUUUUCGCCAUGAGGGACGAUCAAACAAGGACUCCACUAUCAUAUCAGCGACGUCCCUUUUGACAAUGCUGUGCUGCGAGUCGAAGUAAACCAUGGAGAGAGGCCGACGCUCAGUGGGAACACAACAUGAAGAUGUAGCCGUGUUAAUGCCGUUGACUUUCAGCUGGCUGAAGACAGUGGCAUGGAACGAGGAUGCCAUACCAGCACACGGUGACAUCGUCCCCACAGCGCAGUGAGCGCUUCCUGAGUAAGUGCUUGGAGCGGUCUUCACGGAGAUGCACCUGGGCCACCAUGAAGGGCUGGUGGAGGCUGUCAGCAGAGCUGUCAAGGGAGCAGAGGUUCUUCCCAUCCUCAUCACAGCUGACCUCCAGACGUAGACGAUGCUGGCCUCCAUCCAGGAAGGUUUGCAGGGUGCGGGUGAUAGGGAAGGUGUGCCAGUUACUCUCCUGGACCUCCAGCAUUUUUUCUAUCACCAGGGUGCGGUUAGAGCCAUAUGCCCCCCCCUCUGCGGUGAGGAAAACCCUGGCAGGGAGGCGGGAAUCUCGGUUAGGGUCCCCGGAGGAGCGGGCGUAGAUCCACAGAGAAGACUGGAGGACCUGGAUACUCUGGCCACGUUCCUGCAGGAACUGGAAGGUGCAGCUUGUCCAAAAGUUGUUGCUUUGCGAUUUCUAUCAGCAGCAUUUCCUCUGCGUCUUUCUCCAUCGCAGACAAGCCGCAAGACGCGCAACCUGGAGAGCCUCUGACGCAGAGACCCUU
Labrus bergylta (ballan wrasse) is the source of this 1019-nucleotide non-coding RNA. The record is from RefSeq and is a predicted model, not a curated record. NCBI's taxonomy places the organism in Eukaryota, Metazoa, Chordata, Actinopteri, Labriformes, Labridae.